UACGUAGGGUGCGAGCGUUAAUCGGAAUUACUGGGCGUAAAGCGUGCGCAGGCGGUUUUGUAAGCCAGAUGUGAAAUCCCCGGGCUUAACCUGGGAAUGGCAUUUGGGACUGCAAGGCUCGAGUGCGGCAGAGGAGACUGGAAUUCCUGGUGUAGCAGUGAAAUGCGUAGAUAUGUGGAGGAAUACCGAUGGCGAAGGCAGCCCCCUGGGAUAACACUGACGCUCAUGCACGAAAGCGUGGGGAGCAAACAGG
This 253-nucleotide ribosomal RNA is filed under the name uncultured bacterium. Its description in RNAcentral is "partial 16S ribosomal RNA". It matches the Rfam family "Bacterial small subunit ribosomal RNA", at positions 524 to 776 of the family's 1533-position model. The record is from RNAcentral.